Syngnathus acus (greater pipefish) is the source of this 292-nucleotide long non-coding RNA. RefSeq lists it as uncharacterized. Lineage: Eukaryota; Metazoa; Chordata; Actinopteri; Syngnathiformes; Syngnathidae. The transcript has 4 exons. The record is from RefSeq and is a predicted model, not a curated record.
UAAGCCCAACACCGCAUGUUCCCACCGACGUACUGGUGAUGAUAGCACGCUGUGAGCACCAUGAGCGGACGGGCUGCAGAGAGGAACAGUUUUGCUAGCCGCUGGUCGCGGUUACUGUUCGACGGUGAUGAAAAGAAUUACGAAUUAUGGGAGGCAAAGUUUUUGGGCCACCUGCGAUUGCAGGAUUUGAAAGACGUUAUCUUAAACGAGCCCACAACCGAGGAAGAAGACGAACUACAGCAAGACGCUGGAAAGAAUGAGGAAGCUGUAGAAGUAUUGAGCCCGGACAUCC